AUUGAACGCUGGCGGCAGGCCUAACACAUGCAAGUCGAGCGGAUGCAGGGAGCUUGCUCCUGGAUUCAGCGGCGGACGGGUGAGUAAUUCCUAGGAAUCUGCCUGGUAGCGGGGGAUAACGUCCGGACGCGGGCGCUAAUACCGCAUACGUCCUGAGGGCGAACGUGGGGGAUCUUCGGACCUCACGCUCUCAGAUGAGCCUAGGUCGGAUUAGCUAGUUGGUGGGGUAAAGGCCUACCAAGGCGACGAUCCGUAACUGGUCUGAGAGGAUGAUCAGUCACACUGGAACUGAGACACGGUCCAGACUCCUACGGGAGGCAGCAGUGGGGAAUAUUGGACAAUGGGCGAAAGCCUGAUCCAGCCAUGCCGCGUGUGUGAAGAAGGUCUUCGGAUUGUAAAGCACUUUAAGUUGGGAGGAAGGGCAGUAAGUUAAUACCUUGCUGUUUUGACGUUACCAACAGAAUAAGCACCGGCUAACUUCGUG
Molecule: ribosomal RNA, 484 nt
Filed under: uncultured bacterium
Lineage: Bacteria
Description: partial 16S ribosomal RNA
Rfam family: Bacterial small subunit ribosomal RNA
Source: RNAcentral